This 3400-nucleotide long non-coding RNA is filed under the name Homo sapiens (human). RNAcentral describes it as "HSALNT0292729". Lineage: Eukaryota; Metazoa; Chordata; Mammalia; Primates; Hominidae. The record is from RNAcentral.
GACAGUUUUCACUUUAUCACUUAUUGAAUAAUUUCUCUAUUCCCCAAAUAAUGUAAAAUGAUACCUCUGUCAUUUAUUUUUUAUAUUUGUGUAUGUCUGUUUUUGGAUUCUUUGCUCUGUUACACUGAUCAACUUGUCUGCCCUAUACCAUCACCACAAUUUUUCACUUACUAAGCCCUUAUAAUGAGUCUUGAUAAAGCAAAAUUUCACACCUCUUUUUGAAAUAAAUUUUUUAGUUAUUCUUUACCCCUCACUAUUCCAUAUAUAUCAUGGCAUUACUUUGUCAAGUUUUGUGAAACAUCCUAUUGGGACUUUGUUUAGAAAUAUAUUGAAUCUACAGAUAAAGGAAAUUGACAUCUUUUUUUAACUAUCAAAUAUUAUUAUCUAUGAACAUGAGAAAGGACAAGACCUGACCUAGUUUUGUUAAUUUUCCUCUUAUUUUUAAAAAUUUUAUGGUUUGGUAUAUGCUACCAUAAUUGAAACCUCAGAUUCUCCUCACAAAUUACUUUAUGCCAAGUGGUAUAGUAUCUGUUAAUUAGUGGGUAAAUAGUGUUUUUAAAGAAUGCAGUCAUCUAAAAUUUCAAAAUAUAAGGCUCAUUUGUAUGAAUUAAUUAUUUUAGAUGGCAAAUGUAUAAUGUAUAGCCUUUAAUAUUCUUAAAGUGGAUGUUAGUUAAGGACAAUUUUUAGUUGAGAGAGAGUGAAAGAGAGAGAGAUAAGGGGGGCAGAGAGGAUUCCAUUACAUUCAGCACAGUAUGAAACUAAGUCAAAGGAGUUUUGUUAAUUAAAUUCAAUUGCCAUCCAUUAGACCAGUGGAAUGAGAUGACUCUGCCUGGUGCUGACACAGCACAGGUGUAAAAAUGAAGAAAAAAUUAUAUCUCAUGUUGUGAAAGAGUCAGACUCUGAAAUCUGCUUAUACUUUGCUAUUUACAGGAUAUGACAUGCUUCAAGAGAGGAAAAUUAUUUCCAGAUUAUUUUUUCUUAUAUUUUUUUAAAAGUUGGCUUUAAGGGAGCACGUUUCUCUUUGAGGGUGGCCUGUUUCAUUGUCAAUAUUUGCUCUUCAUUGGAAGCUGAGGUCAUGUCAGAGUUACUCAGGAGAAAGACCUGGACUUUUCUUCUUAUCUUUUAAUGGUUUAUCAUUGAUAAGUUUGGACAUGCAAGCACCCGUGCUUUACCUCGUGCUGACCCUUGAGCAAGGCUGCCCACAUCUGUUCAGAAGCUUUCUAAGCCAUGGAGUAUUCUAAAUGAGCAUUUUGUUAAAUGGAUGAAGGAAGACUUAGUUUUCCAUUGUUAGGUGAAACCUAAUUAAAAAUUAAAUAAUGACCUUGUGUUGGCUUGUAAAUUCCUUAUUUCCUGCAUGUGUGAGUGUAUUUUGUUAGAACAUUCCAUUUUAAAGCAUGCCUUUUUUAUGACAAGAAAUACUUUUAAAAUACUAUUUGCUUUUGAAAUUACAGUAGGGAAUCAAAGGAUAGUCUCUUGUUGAGAGGAAGGCCCGAUUCUCUAGUGGACUUCUGGUGAAAUUAUGUGGCUACCUUCCAUUAAUGUUAAUGGAGGUUAUGGAUAUAAAUCCCUCCAUAGUGAUGGAAGAAUGAGCCCCAGAGAGAAGAAUGUUUCUAAUGAAUCACUGGAUUGUGAUAUAGGAUUAACUUGGUGUCCCUAAUACCAUUUUUUUUUCCUCCUGAAAGUUUAAGGUCUUAUGUUUAGGAACUAGUUUCUCUCCACCUUAAUCCUUUAUUGUCAAGUCUGCAAUAAUGUUAAGAACAGGAAAAAAAAAUGUAGAUUCCUGGAUAGGCACAGUUUUUAUAUUAAUGUAACUAUAUAGGCAUAGUUUUUAUAUUAAUACUGCAGUUUAUUAUUUAGUAUUAAAGCUCUCAAAUGUAUUUAUUGAGCACCUGCUGGGUACAAGGCUUUGAGCUUAGUGAUGAAAGCAUAUGACAUAGUCUGUAGCCUCAAAUUUUCUAUAAUCUCGUGAUAAAAAGACUGAAGGCCAUUAUGGCUGGACAGUUAAGGGAGAGUGACCUAAAUAAAGUUCAUAUUGGCGGGAGAGCAGCUUGCCACAGGGUUACACAGAAUAGGCAGUGGUGGUCCACAUAAUUAAUAGCUUUAUCAUAUGAGGUUUGAAGGUUUGAGUUACUUAUUAUAACUGAAAAUCUUUAUUAUCAAAAUGUGUGUUCAUUAUAGUGUUUGCUUGCCUUCUUGGGUGAAGAAAUACUUAUUAUGAGAGUAUGUAGAUUUUCCGUGAAGAAUUAGUAAUCAUGCAUCAGGUUGAUACCUGAUUUAAGGAUUGUUUGGAAAUAUUGUUAGAAUCAAAAUCAACGUUUGUUACUACACAGGGUUGAGCAUUCCAGGCACACUCUGGUCGUUUUGUUAUUCUAAUGUCCACUUAUUUCAUGUCUGCCGUGACCGUGACAGUUUUCAGUCACACAGAGCUGCCAUCAAAAGAGUGAUAAGCUUGUAAGUGAAGCCUUUGGGGAAGCAAUAAAGUCAUUUUUCUGGUCCCAUCUCAAAAGACAUUAUUGGAAAUUUAUUUAAAAGUGAUCAAGGUAGCACAUACGAGGCCUUCUACAGUUUGCAUUUUGGAAGUUAUUAACAAUCUGCAGUUAAGUCCAUUUAAAACUGAAAGUGGCUCUUCCACAAACUACUUUUUAAAUAGCUUGCUGGUUCUAAAUUUAAGGAGAAUGGAAAUAUUGGAAAUUAAAAGUCAAAAGAAAUUUCUGGGGCAUAAGAUCCUUUCAAGUUUACAAUUUCUCACUUUAGAUUUAAAACUUGAACACGGCCAUACUUUGCAUUUUAUGAUAUCUAAUUAGUGCCUUGUAAUAUAUUUUGUGAACAGUAUCUGUUAGCCAUAAUAUCAGGGACAGUUUAAAAAAUCUUCAGUACAUUUAUGAUAAAAGUAUUAGCAUUGUAAGGUCUUAAAUUGACAUCUAGGACAUUAGGAAAUCAAAUUUAAAGCAUUGCAUUGUCUGUUACUCAAUGGAGUGGACUGAGGACAGCGUGUGACUUGUGUACUGCAAAUGAUGCAAUAGCUAAAUAUCCUAGUGUGAGUUAAGGUUGAUUAAGUGAUCAUCUUUAACUCUGCUUUUCCCAGGGCUCUUUGAACUCUUGUUUUAUUAGGUAAUAUGCUAUGCUGUUAUUUUAUUGCUGUUUAAAAAACCUUCUCUUUUGGGAAAGAAAACAUGUGAAUUCUUUGGUUUCUAGAUAGAAAUUAGCAAUCUUUUGCUCGGAAUGUAAAAGUAUGCUGUAUUAUCACAAACUGACCCUCCUCCUCCCCAAGAAUUCUAGGGAGUAAAAUGCGUGCACAGGAAAUCAGAAAUGGAUCAACAGAGUUAUAGGUUUUAAAAAAACUGCCUUGCAUUUUUGCCCUGGAAUUAAUUUUCAGUGAAAAUUAAAAUAUUUUUUCUGU